This 292-nucleotide ribosomal RNA is filed under the name uncultured bacterium. Its description in RNAcentral is "partial 16S ribosomal RNA". It matches the Rfam family "Bacterial small subunit ribosomal RNA", at positions 505 to 796 of the family's 1533-position model. The record is from RNAcentral.
GUGCCAGCAGCCGCGGUAAUACGUAGGGUGCAAGCGUUAAUCGGAAUUACUGGGCGUAAAGCGUGCGCAGGCGGCCAUGCAAGACAGAUGUGAAAUCCCCGGGCUCAACCUGGGAACUGCAUUUGUGACUGCAUGGCUAGAGUACGGCAGAGGGGGAUGGAAUUCCGCGUGUAGCAGUGAAAUGCGUAGAUAUGCGGAGGAACACCGAUGGCGAAGGCAAUCCCCUGGGCCUGUACUGACGCUCAUGCACGAAAGCGUGGGGAGCAAACAGGAUUAGAAACCCUUGUAGUCC